CACUUCUAAGGAAGGCAGCAGGCGCGCAAAUUACCCAAUCCUGACUCAGGGAGGUAGUGACAAGAAAUAACAAUAAACCGGCUUAUGCCGGUUUAAUUGGAAUGAGUACAAUUUAAACAUCUUAACGAGGAACAAUUGGAGGGCAAGUCUGGUGCCAGCAGCCGCGGUAAUUCCAGCUCCAAUAGCGUAUACUAAAGUUGUUGCAGUUAAAAAGCUCGUAGUUGGAUUUCUGUGGGGACGGAGCGGCCGGCCGCAACUCGCGGUUCGAGCUAGCGCUUUCCCUACAUCCUGCCGCGAACCGUGCUACCAUUAAUUUGGUGGCGCCGGGGAUCGGCUCGAUUACUUUGAGAAAAAUAGAGUGUUCAAAGCAGGCCACAUGCCUUGAAUAAGUUAGCAUGGAAUAAUAACUAAGGACUUCGGUUCUAUUUUGUUGGUGUUCGGGACUGAAGUAAUGAUUGAUAGGGACAGUUGGGGCGGUCUGUAUUCCAAAGCGAGAGGUGAAAUUCUUAGACCUUCGGAAGACAAACAGCUGCGAAAGCGUUCCGCAAGGAUGUUCCCUUUGAUCAAGAACGAAAGUUGGGGGAUCGAAGACGAUCAGAUACCGUCGUAGUCUCAACUAUAAACUAUACCAGCUAGGGAUCGGCCAACGUUAUUUUAUACCGACUUGGUCGGCACCUUAUGAGAAAUCAAAGCAUCUGGGUUCCGGGGGGAGUAUGGUCGCAAGGCUGAAACUUAAAGGAAUUGAUGGAAGGGCACCACCAGCCGUGGAGCCUGUGGCUUAAUUUGACUCAACACGGGAAAACUUACCAGGUCCAGACAUAGUAAGGAUUGACAGAUUGAUAGCUCUUUCUUGAUUCUGUGGGUGGUGGUGCAUGGCCGUUCUUAGUUGGUGGAGUGAUUUGUCUGGUUAAUUCCGUUAACGAACGAGACCCCAGCCUGCUAAAUAGCGCGCGUGAGCUUUGCUCGCGGCGAGCUUCUUAGAGGGACUCUGAUGCGCGAUAGCACAUGGAAGUUUGGGGCAAUAACAGGUCUGUGAUGCCCUUAGAUGUUCUGGGCCGCACACGGGCUACACUGGCGCCUGCAACGAGCAUAUCAGCUGGCCCGAGAGGGUCUUGGCUAAUCUUUUGAACCGGCGCCGUGCUUGGGAUUGACCUUUGCAAUUGUUGGUCAUGCAACGAGGAAUGCCUUGUAAACGCGAGUCAUCAGCUCGCAUUGAAUACGUCCCUGCCCUUUGUACACACCGCCCGUCGCUCCUACCGAUGAAUGUUCCGAUGAAAUUUUCGGAGAGCACCUGUGAACUUGGCUCUGCCUUGCGAACGGGAGGCUCAAAGUCACUUAAAUCUGAACAUUUCGAGG
This 1356-nucleotide ribosomal RNA is filed under the name uncultured marine eukaryote. RNAcentral describes it as "SSU rRNA". It matches the Rfam family "Eukaryotic small subunit ribosomal RNA", at positions 411 to 1779 of the family's 1831-position model. The record is from RNAcentral.